CUGCCGGCGACCGGCGCGCGGGUGAGUAACACGUAUGCAACCUGCCCUCCGCAGGGGGAUAACCCGGAGAAAUCCGGACUAAUACCGCGUGGUACAUCUGUGGGGCAUCCCACGGGUGUUAAAAGGAAGCGAUUCCGGCGGAGGAUGGGCAUGCGGCGCAUUAGCUAGUUGGCGGGGUAACGGCCCACCAAGGCGACGAUGCGUAGGGGUUCUGAGAGGAAGGUCCCCCACACUGGUACUGAGACACGGACCAGACUCCUACGGGAGGCAGCAG
RNAcentral lists this ribosomal RNA (274 nucleotides) under uncultured bacterium. Its description in RNAcentral is "partial 16S ribosomal RNA". It matches the Rfam family "Bacterial small subunit ribosomal RNA", at positions 85 to 354 of the family's 1533-position model. The record is from RNAcentral.